CUCUCCACUACUAGUCUACCGUCAGUGUCUACUGUCUAGUUGGAACUCUCUCCACUACUAGUCUACUGUCUAGUUGGAACUCUCUCCACUACUAGUCUACCGUUAGUGUCUACUGUCUAGUGUCUACUGUCUAGUUGGAAUCUCUCUACUACUAGUCUAGUGUCUAGUUGGAACUCUCUCC
This is a non-coding RNA of Salvelinus sp. IW2-2015, 181 nucleotides long. Lineage: Eukaryota; Metazoa; Chordata; Actinopteri; Salmoniformes; Salmonidae. The record is from RefSeq and is a predicted model, not a curated record.